RNAcentral lists this ribosomal RNA (465 nucleotides) under uncultured bacterium. RNAcentral describes it as "partial 16S ribosomal RNA". It matches the Rfam family "Bacterial small subunit ribosomal RNA", at positions 338 to 795 of the family's 1533-position model. The record is from RNAcentral.
CCUACGGGAGGCAGCAGUGGGGAAUUUUGCGCAAUGCUCGUAAGAGUGACGCAGCGACGCCGCGUGAAUGACGAAGGCCUUCGGGUCGUAAAGUUCUUUCGACAGGGAAGAAAAUGCCUAUAAGUAACCGUGUACGUAUUGACGGUACCUGCAUAAGCAGCCCCGGCUAACUCCGUGCCAGCAGCCGCGGUAAUACGGAGGGGGCGAGCGUUGUUCGGAGUGACUGGGCGUAAAGAGCACGUAGGCGGUGUUGUAAAUCAUUAGUCAAAGACUAGAGCUCAACUUUAGUAAGGCUAGUGAUACUAUAAUGCUAGAGUAUCAGAGAGGAUUGCAGAAUGCCUGGUGUAGCGGUGAAAUGCGUAGAUAUCAGGAGGAAUACCGUUGGCGAAGGCGGCAAUCUGGCUGGAAACUGACGCUGAGGUGCGAAAGCGUGGGUAGCAAACAGGAUUAGAUACCCCAGUAGUC